RNAcentral lists this ribosomal RNA (494 nucleotides) under uncultured bacterium. Its description in RNAcentral is "partial 16S ribosomal RNA". It matches the Rfam family "Bacterial small subunit ribosomal RNA", at positions 28 to 507 of the family's 1533-position model. The record is from RNAcentral.
GACGAACGCUGGCGGCGUGCUUAACACAUGCAAGUCGAACGGUGAAGCGCCUUCCUUUUUGGUGGGUGUGGAUGAGUGGCGAACGGGUGAGUAACACGUGAGUAACCUGCCCCCUUCUUCUGGAUAACCGCAUGAAAGUGUGGCUAAUACGGGAUAUUCUGGGUCUGUCGCAUGAUGGGUCUGGGAAAGAUAUUGUUUCGGUGGGGGAUGGGCUCGCGGCCUAUCAGCUUGUUGGUGGGGUGAUGGCCUACCAAGGCGGUGACGGGUAGCCGGCCUGGGAGGGUGGACGGUCACACUGGGACUGAGACACGGCCCGGACUCCUACGGGAGGCAGCAGUGGGGAAUAUUGCACAAUGGGCGCAAGCCUGAUGCAGCGACGCCGCGUGAGGGAUGGAGGCCUUCGGGUUGUGAACCUCUUUCGCCAGUGAAGCAGGCCUGCCUCGUAUGUGGGUGGGUUGACGGUAGCUGGAUAAGAAGCGCCGGCUAACUACGUG